Molecule: non-coding RNA, 833 nt
Organism: Dermatophagoides farinae (American house dust mite)
Lineage: Eukaryota; Metazoa; Arthropoda; Arachnida; Sarcoptiformes; Pyroglyphidae
Source: RefSeq, a predicted model, not a curated record
AAUGGUUUGGAUGAAUGAAUCAAUUUUGAUUCCAUCCAUUCGAAUGUAGACAUUUUUUGUUUUACUGGCUAUACACUUGAUUCGCGAAAAAAAAGCAAAGCAGGUGCACGGAAAAAGAACCGCGCCACCACCACCAUCAUCAUCAUCAUUGGCAAUAUGAUUUCUAUACAUGUUGGAUCACGCCAUUACAAUUAAUCCAUUACAUUUGGUUUGUUCUAUAGCAGCCUGUGUUUGUAUGUGUGUGUGUCGAAUAAUUUGACCAUCCAAUACUACAUCAAUAUAUUGUGACUUAUUUAAACAUUUUGACACACGUGAUAAUUAUAUAUAUAUAGACAAGCCAUUUGUGUUGUCAUCUGUGUGGUCAUCAACCACCAGUUGUUGUUGGAACAUUUUCAUAUAUUUUAUGGCGUGGCAUACACGAGCGUGAACUCUGACUUGUUAAUCGUAAACAAUGGCAUUGCAGAUGUAAACAGGUGUUUUCCGCGAUAAAAUCCCGCAUGAUCAUCAUCAUCAUCAUUGAUGCAACAGAUUGAUACAGGAAUGGCAUCCCAUACAUGGUGAGCAAAUGUCUUUCGAAGUAAGAAAUUUAUUAUCAUCAUUUUUUUAAAUUGAAAAUCAAUUAUCAUUCAGACCAAAAAAAAAUCAAUGAUUUCCGAUUUGAUUUUUAAUUUCAAAUCAUAAUCAGACCAUUCAAUCAUGAACUGAUUGUGUUUGUGUGUGUGUGUGUGUGUGUAUCAACAAUUACAAAUUGAAAGUUUUCCAUAUUAAUUACAUAUAUAUGGCACAAUUAUUAUGUUUUUGGCAUUAAAUUGGAAACAAUUUACGACAAUCAA